This is a long non-coding RNA of Mustela putorius furo (domestic ferret), 805 nucleotides long. Ensembl lists it as uncharacterized. The record is from Ensembl. Lineage: Eukaryota; Metazoa; Chordata; Mammalia; Carnivora; Mustelidae.
ACAAACUGACAGAUUUUUCAUUUCCAGAAUGCAAAGAUCACCAAAGGCGAACAUCAACAGGUGUGAAAUUCACCUUCAUCAUUGAAGCGUUCACACCCUUUGAUACACGACCCCUGGACACUCUGCUGCCUCAUUUGAAAUGAAAAACCAGUUAGAAUGUGGGAGAAAUACAUGCUCCAGGAUGCCAUCCCUAAACCCAGAGCUGGGAGGAGAGACACAGCGGCAUCUCCUUGGACGGUGUUCUCACUAUGCAGCCACGGCCUGUGUCAGUCGCCUCCAGAACCCUCCAUCACCGGACAACGCGCAACCGCGAGGGUUUCUCUACGCAACUCACAGAACAGACCAUCUUUGAGACACGAGUAUGCCAAACAAGACACGGAAGCACUCACUGUUCUUGUGUCACAUGUUUCUUGCUGGCCCCCGAGAGCGACGACGAUGAAAUGACGGAUCAAGCCCAUCACAUCACCAUCACUGACUCCCGAGUUGGAAAGAUAAAGCACAGAACAGCAUUCUGGGUUCUCACGUCUGCCCACUCUCUUCCCCUCUUGGUCUCCUACCUGUCUCCUUUCUGUGCCGGUUGUCAGUUGAAAAUGCCUCUGGUCUUCCUCUCCUGCCUUCCGUGAAGUCAAUAAAAAGCAAGAGGGGGCAUGCAGAGCGAGGACGAUCCUGUCCGUGCUGGCCUCAGUUAUGGAAUCCGUUUAAGCCCAAGUGUGAGGGAUGAGCACUGCGUGUUAACACUAAUGAGUUGUUGAGCGCUACAUCAAACACUAAUGGUGUACUGUGUGUUGGCUAAUUGAACAUCAUA